GACGAACGCUGGCGGCGUGCUUAACACAUGCGAGUCGAACGGAAAGGCCCUGCUUUUGUGGGGUGCUCGAGUGGCGAACGGGUGAGUAACACGUGAGUAACCUGCCCUUGACUUUUGGAUAACUUCAGGAAACUGGGGCUAAUACCGGAUAGGAGCUCCUGCUGCAUGGUGGGGGUUGGAAAGUUUCGGCGGUUGGGGAUGGACUCGCGGCUUAUCAGCUUGUUGGUGGGGUAGUGGCUUACCAAGGCUUUGACGGGUAGCCGGCCUGAGAGGGUGACCGGCCACAUUGGGACUGAGAUACGGCCCAGACUCCUACGGGAGGCAGCAGUGGGGAAUAUUGCACAAUGGGCGGAAGCCUGAUGCAGCAACGCCGCGUGCGGGAUGACGGCCUUCGGGUUGUAAACCGCUUUCGCCUGUGACGAAGCGUGAGUGACGGUAAUGGGUAAAGAAGCACCGGCUAACUACGUG
RNAcentral lists this ribosomal RNA (468 nucleotides) under uncultured bacterium. Its description in RNAcentral is "partial 16S ribosomal RNA". It matches the Rfam family "Bacterial small subunit ribosomal RNA", at positions 28 to 507 of the family's 1533-position model. The record is from RNAcentral.